AACGCACGAGACCUGCGGACCUGCGGAAGGAUCAUUACAGAGUUGAAAAACUCCCAAACCCUUGUGAACAUACCUAACGUUGCUUCGGCGGUGCGGCCCUAGGCCGCUGCCUCCCUGUGAGGCGCCCGCCGGAGGUUUACAAACUCUAUGUAUUAUAUUGUCUUCUCUGAGUUGUCUUUUAAAUAAGUCAAAACUUUUAACAACGGAUCUCU
RNAcentral lists this unclassified non-coding RNA (212 nucleotides) under soil metagenome. Its description in RNAcentral is "partial contains 5.8S ribosomal RNA, internal transcribed spacer 2, and large subunit ribosomal RNA". The record is from RNAcentral.